GGGAAUGGUAAAGUCCCGGUGGGCUUCGUGGUCUUCAAAAUCAUUGUCGGGUCGCUAAGAGCCGUCGUGGGUUCGACUCCCAUCCAUUCCCGC
This 93-nucleotide transfer RNA is filed under the name Anaerolineaceae bacterium. RNAcentral describes it as "tRNA-Sec". It matches the Rfam family "Selenocysteine transfer RNA". RNAcentral also lists the same sequence under 1 other name. The record is from RNAcentral. Lineage: Bacteria; Bacillati; Chloroflexota; Anaerolineae; Anaerolineales; Anaerolineaceae.